RNAcentral lists this long non-coding RNA (251 nucleotides) under Helianthus annuus (common sunflower). RNAcentral's name for it is "sRNA HanXRQr2_Chr09g0409441". Lineage: Eukaryota; Viridiplantae; Streptophyta; Magnoliopsida; Asterales; Asteraceae. The record is from RNAcentral.
UAAGACGUAGAAUGUGAUCACUACUUUGUAAUCAUGAGACGUUUGUAAGGUAAUCGCCACCUACACUUAGUGAGACUAUUGUAUACCUUUGAUCUCUAUUGUUAUAGAGAGACGUUUAGUUGAGCAGGCUCUUGAUUGAAGAAUCAAGAAGAGGACGUGGAGUGGAUUAGGUGAAGAUGGAACCAAGAAGACCGUCUACUCGAGCACCCAUCAAUUCUUUUGCAAGAGUAGCCCAGAUCAUAGCCCAAUAA